RNAcentral lists this transfer RNA (85 nucleotides) under Echinostoma caproni. It matches the Rfam family "tRNA". From Rfam's summary of the family: Transfer RNA (tRNA) molecules are approximately 80 nucleotides in length. Their secondary structure includes four short double-helical elements and three loops (D, anti-codon, and T loops). Lineage: Eukaryota; Metazoa; Platyhelminthes; Trematoda; Plagiorchiida; Echinostomatidae. The record is from Rfam by way of RNAcentral.
GGCCUGGUAGCUCAGCUGGUAGAGCGUGCGCGUACAAAGCGUAGGCGGUGUCCAUGCAUGAUGGGUUCAAAUCCCACCGCGGCUA